Molecule: long non-coding RNA, 1577 nt
Organism: Camelus dromedarius (Arabian camel)
Lineage: Eukaryota; Metazoa; Chordata; Mammalia; Artiodactyla; Camelidae
Exons: 2
Source: RefSeq, a predicted model, not a curated record
CUUCGUGAAGCCUCAGCCCCUCCAGAGAGGCGGGGUGUCCUUGUGCCGCUGGGCCUCCCCGCGUCUCCCCAGGGCCCGUGUGGUGCCCGUGACCAGUGGAGGGAGGAAACAGUGAAGAAGGGUCUCAGUGGUGCCAGGCCUGGCGCUGCACUGGGCUCUCGAGGCCGCUCCCGUAGGCCCUAGCCGCUCCACCAGGGAGGAGGUGACUGCCCACACUGAUCCGGCCCCGGGGGCUGGAACACCUGCCCCUGGGCUCCAGACGCUGAGAGAAAUCAUGUGUUUUAAAAAGUUUGUGGGGACCAUCUGUGGAUGAAGUCAGGCGCAACCGGCCUGGGGGGUGGCCGACACCUCCCUCGGAAACGUAGAGCCCAAAGGGGGUCUGGCUGCAGCCGUGCUGCCCUGGAAAGGGGCUCUCCCCGGGACAGCCCCAGAGCAGGGAGGCCCGGCCUUGAGUCCAGUCCAGAGCCCCUGCCCCCCCUUCAGCAGGCCUGGACUCCCAGAAGCAGCCUCUCCAGGCAGCCCGGGGUCCCCGCAACCCUGGGAACGGUGUGCAAGGCUCAGGACACCCCAAGCAGGAUCCCAGUCGUCCCCACGCCUGCCUACACCUCCCCUGGCCUCACCCCUCAACUGCAAGCCCCCGCAUUGCAGGCGCCUCUUCACGUGCAGGGUGAGGCCUCGGCCCCUGAGAACACCACAGCUGGGAGAGCCCCACGAGGCAGGGUGACCAGCCCUGUACUGGCCCCACCCCUGGCCUUCCCCGGGCGACCUCCAACUGUCCAUCACUGGACCGAGAAAGGGUCACUACAGCACUUCAGGAAAGGCAAGGGUGAGGCCGAAAUGCAGAGGGUGCCCCCUACUGGAGAGAACCCCACAAAGCACAGCCCCCCCCCCAAGCCCUUGAUGACUAUGCAGGCCGGGAGGGCUGGAGGAGGGCCCGUCUCUGCUCUCCACCUCUGUCCCCACCUUGUCCCUCCUCCAGGCAGCUCCCAGAUCCUCUUCCUAAGGGGCUGUAAGCUCAACUCCUGGAGGCCUUGAGAGCGGUUAGGAGGGAGGGAAUAAACUGAUGGAGCCCUGAGACAGGGGGCCAGGUACAGGUGGGCUAGGGCCGGCCCACCUUGGCCUGUGUGCCCCAGAGAGAGGCUGCGGGCAGUGAGCGCUGACAUUCUGGGGGGCUCAGGACAUGCUGGCACAGGCCUCCAAGCCACACCUCGCCGAGCAUUUUGGUGCCUAUUCGGCACGUGCUGUAAUGAGGCUUUGUGGCCAUUUUUCAAGCUUUCUCCUCUAGCAGAGCACGAUGUAGUCCUGUAGGAAGAGCACAAGCCUUGUUAGAAUCAGCUCCACCGUUUCGAAGCUGUGCUGCUUCCAGGAGGCUGCUUAACAUCUCUGAGCCUCAUUUUCUCAUCCAUAAAGUAGGAUGAUGACAUCCGCAUCCCGGGAAUGCUGUGAAAAUUAACAUGGGAAACCGCCUAGUGGCAUACAACCUAAUACAGACUGUGCUCUCAAGGGUGGUUGUGGGUGUCACUGUGUAGUGGGUUGAAUGGUAACCCCCUCAAGAAAAUACAUACCUCCACCUGGAA